AAAGGUUUGGUCCUAGCCUUGAAAUCAGUUACUAAUUGUAUUACACAUGCAAGUCUCCGCACCCCUGUGAAAACGCCCUCAAAUCUCUAGUAGAGAUUAGGAGCUGGUAUCAGGCACACAAGCCCAAGACACCUAGCCUCGCCACACCCACAAGGGACCUCAGCAGUGAUUAACAUUGACUAUAAGCGACAGCUUGAUUCAGAUAAAUUUUAUAGAGCCGGCCAAUUUAGGUGCCAGCCGCCGCGGUUACACCAGAAGCUCAAACUGAUUUCUAUCGGCGUAAAGCGUGAUUAAAGCAAUUAACCCAUUGGAAUUAAAUUAAAACUGAGCCGUGAUACGCCUGUUACUUAAGAAACCCACAAACGAAAGUUAUUCCAAUUAAACCCACUUGAACUCACGACAUCUGAGACACAAACUGGGAUUAGAUACCCCACUAUGCUCAGCCGUAAACUUUAAAUUACAUCAUACUCGCCCGGGAACUACGAGCUAAGCUUAAAACCCAAAGGACUUGACGGUACCCCAUAUCCAUCUAGAGGAGCCUGUCCUAUAAUCGAUAACCCACGUUUAACCUCACCAUUUUUAGCUUAUUCAGUCUGUAUACCUCCGUCGUCAGCUUACCACGUGAGCGCUAGUGAGCUCAAUGUUUAUUCAACAAUACGUCAGGUCAAGGUGCAACUUACAAAAUGGGAAGAGAUGGGCUACACUUUCUAAUAUAGACCACACGGAAAACUAUUUAUGAAACCUAGUCAGAAGGCGGAUUUAGCAGUAAAUAGGAACCAAAAAGUCCUUUUUAAUUCGGCACUGGGGUGCGUACACACCGCCCGUCACCCUCUUCGUCUGCUCAAUAUAUAGUAUUUAACAAAAUUCAGCUUUUUAGAAGAGGCAAGUCGUAACAUGGUAAGUAUACCGGAAGGUAUGCUUGGAAUCAA
This 929-nucleotide non-coding RNA is filed under the name Allobates aff. melanolaemusi AR-2020. RNAcentral describes it as "12S ribosomal RNA". It matches the Rfam family "Bacterial small subunit ribosomal RNA". The record is from RNAcentral. Lineage: Eukaryota; Metazoa; Chordata; Amphibia; Anura; Aromobatidae.